AAAUUACUCCCUCCGAUCCAUGUUAAUUGUCGAAAUAUUAGAUGUAUCUAUACGCUUUUUAGGCAUAGAUACAUCCAUAUUUGGGCAAAUUUGAGACAAUUGAUAUGGAUCGGAGGGAGUAAUAA
Brachypodium distachyon (stiff brome) is the source of this 125-nucleotide non-coding RNA. NCBI's taxonomy places the organism in Eukaryota, Viridiplantae, Streptophyta, Magnoliopsida, Poales, Poaceae. The record is from Rfam.